CCUACGGGUGGCAGCAGUAGGGGAUCUUGCACAAUGGGGGGAACCCUGAUGCAGCGACGCCGCGUGGGUGAAGAAGUGCCUCGGCGCGUAAAGCCCUGUCAGCCGGGAAGAACAUGACGGUACCUGAAGAAGAAGCCCCGGCUAACUACGAGCCAGCAGCCGCGGUAAUACGUAGGGGGCAAGCGUUAUCCGGAUUUACUGGGUGUAACGGGGGCGCAGACGGCGAUGCAAGCCUGGAGUGAAAGCCCGUGGCCCAACCCCGGGACUGCUCUGGGAACUGAGUGGAUGGAGUGCAGGAGUGGCAGGCGGAAUUCCUGGUGUAGCGGUGAAAUGCGUAGAUAUCAGGAGGAACACCAGUGGCGAAGGCGGCCUGCUGGACUGCAACUGACGUUGAGGCCCGAAAGCGUGGGGAGCAAACAGGAUUAGAUACCCCAGUAGUC
RNAcentral lists this ribosomal RNA (440 nucleotides) under uncultured bacterium. RNAcentral describes it as "partial 16S ribosomal RNA". It matches the Rfam family "Bacterial small subunit ribosomal RNA", at positions 338 to 795 of the family's 1533-position model. The record is from RNAcentral.